AUGUGUAAUCAUUUCAAAACCAUGUGGAGCUGGCCCUGGGGAAGAGCUGCCCUGGCUGAUGUUUGGAGAGUGAGUAAAUCAAGCAAACCUCACCUCUCUGUAGCACAGCAGGCAACAGACUCAAACCCAUCCAGUCUCCCAACUCUCCACCUGCCAUUCGGGCAAGGACUAGGCCAUUGUUAUCCAACUGUUCAACAGACUCAAACCCAUCCAGUCUCUGAACCUUCCUCUGAAACCCAGGCUAGAGCCUGGGCCAUUGUUAUCCACCCUGGCAACAGACUCAAACCCAUCCAGUCUCUGAACCUUCCUCUGAAACCCAGGCUAGAGCCUGGGCCAUUGUUAUCCACCCUGCUAACAGACCUGCUAUUUGAAUCCAGAACAACGGACCAGGACCAGAGACCCUCAGCUUUCCCAUUCCUCUCUCUCCCCAUCCACAGUGAGAUAGGCUACUCCUCGCUGGAACUGGCUCUGGGGAAGAGCUGCCCUAGCUGAUGUUUGGAGG
RNAcentral lists this long non-coding RNA (502 nucleotides) under Monodelphis domestica (gray short-tailed opossum). Its description in RNAcentral is "lncRNA (ENSMODG00000048708.1)". Lineage: Eukaryota; Metazoa; Chordata; Mammalia; Didelphimorphia; Didelphidae. The record is from RNAcentral.